GACGAACGCUGGCGGCGUGCUUAACACAUGCAAGUCGAACGAUGAAGUUCCUUCGGGAAUGGAUUAGUGGCGAACGGGUGAGAAACACGUGAGAAACCUGCCUUUCAUUUUGGGAUAACUCCGGGAAACCGGAGCUAACACCGAAUACUCCGUCUCGGCGGCAUCGCUGAGCCGGGAAAAAAUUUUGAUGAAAGAUGGUCUCGCGGCCUAUCAGCUAGUUGGUGAGGUAAUGGCUCACCAAGGCAACGACGGGUGGCCGGCCUGAGAGGGCGACCGGCCACACUGGGACUGAGACACGGCCCAGACUCCUACGGGAGGCAGCAGUGGGGAAUAUUGGGCAAUGGGCGCAAGCCUGACCCAGCGACGCCGCGUGAGGGAUGAAGGCCUUCGGGUUGUAAACCUCCUUCAGUAGGGAAGAAGCGAAAGUGACGGUACCUAAAGAAGAAGCACCGGCUAACUAUGUGCCAGCCGCCGCCGUAA
This 480-nucleotide ribosomal RNA is filed under the name uncultured bacterium. RNAcentral describes it as "partial 16S ribosomal RNA". It matches the Rfam family "Bacterial small subunit ribosomal RNA", at positions 28 to 523 of the family's 1533-position model. The record is from RNAcentral.